GAUGAACGCUGGCGGCGUGCCUAAUACAUGCAAGUCGAGCGAACAGGCGAGGAGCUUGCUCCUCUGACGUUAGCGGCGGACGGGUGAGUAACACGUGGAUAACCUACCUAUAAGACUGGGAUAACUUCGGGAAACCGGAGCUAAUACCGGAUAAUAUAUUGAACCGCAUGGUUCAAUAGUGAAAGACGGUUUUGCUGUCACUUAUAGAUGGAUCCGCGCCGCAUUAGCUAGUUGGUAAGGUAACGGCUUGUCAAGGCAACGAUGCGUAGCCGACCUGAGAGGGUGAUCGGCCACACUGGAACUGAGACACGGUCCAGACUCCUACGGGAGGCAGCAGUAGGGAAUCUUCCGCAAUGGGCGAAAGCCUGACGGAGCAACGCCGCGUGAGUGAUGAAGGUCUUCGGAUCGUAAAACUCUGUUAUUAGGGAAGAACAAAUGUGUAAGUAACUAUGCACGUCUUGACGGUACCUAAUCAGAAAGCCACGGCUAACUACGUG
Molecule: ribosomal RNA, 497 nt
Filed under: uncultured bacterium
Lineage: Bacteria
Description: partial 16S ribosomal RNA
Rfam family: Bacterial small subunit ribosomal RNA
Source: RNAcentral